Molecule: small nucleolar RNA, 50 nt
Filed under: Pyrobaculum islandicum DSM 4184
Lineage: Archaea; Thermoproteati; Thermoproteota; Thermoprotei; Thermoproteales; Thermoproteaceae
Description: PISsR116
Source: RNAcentral
AUGACUGAAUGGUUCGGCGCUGAUAUAUGACGAUUAGCCCUACACGAGGA